UGUUACAUUAAUAAGUAAAUAAUACUUUGGUGGGAAUUAUCAGCCCUGAAGAUGGAAGCAUCAUGUUUAUUUCGAAACUUGAUGUUUACCCACACGAGACAUAUCCAACAGAAAAACACCAAUUAUAAAUAAUAGAUAUGUUGGUAUCAAGAUAGUCAUUCAAGAUUUUGGUGAUCUGUGAUUUUGGUUUGACAUGGUCAGAGGUGAAAACGCAAUUUAAAUUUGUUUUAAAAGUGUUGCGGCAGAUUGGUCACUCGAAUGGAUUUGAAAGUGGCAUACCAUCGGAUAUGAUAGAAUAAUGACAUGAUUGAAAGAAAAUUAUGUUUUUUUCUCUCUGAAAGUCGUAAUAUAGCAUCGUAACACUAGCAGUCAAGAACUAGGACCUUUGUCAUGGCUGCAGUGUCAAACUGCCGGCUGACACCACCAAACUGAAACAGCAGCUCCUUCCAUAGAAAUGAGAGGCUGCUAUAAUCAGGACGUGGGAUCAGUAUCAUCUUGUUAUAUGUCUGGGCAAGGGCUUUCUGGUCACAAUCCCAUGGACAUCGAGAUACCCCAAUGAGCAGAACCUGCAAGAAUUUACAACCAUUCAUGGUGCACUUUGAGGUUGUGGCUGUAGGAGGAGGCCUUCAGGUAUGGAGGAUAGCAAGAAGCUGUCAUGGACAGUCAACAAGGAGUGAUUCAUCAACUUGGGGGGUUGGAUGGGGGAUUAAUUAAUAAUUUCUCACUGUAAAAACCAGUAUGCUAUAAAAUGUUAUGCAGGGCCUCAGAUUUGGACAGAUUCUUUGCAGUGAGCUAAGAAAUGGAAAAUGAGUAUGAGAUUUGGAUCUUGGAAUAUCAGCAGUCUCUAUAGGUCAGUUUCACUGAAAAUAGUAGAAAGAGAAUUAGUAAAACAGAAAUUAGAUUUAUUGUUUGUACAGAAUGUGAGAUAGGACAAAGGUGGCACUGAAACAGCAAAUUCUUCCACAAACUUAAUAAUUUUAUUUUGAACAAUAAAGAACUGCCAGGGAAUGUGAUAGGAGAAUAAGUAAACCAUGUCUCUGCACAGCUGAAUGGGACAAGAGCAUUAUCACCUUCCAAUUUAAUAUUGGAGAAUUUUGUCAAAACUCUCAAACCACUUCAAUUUUAAUUUAGAUUGGAUAAUUUCAAAGAACAUUUAAUGUAAUGACAUAAAUACUUUUUUGAGACUAUCUCAUGUACUUGUGAAGAAGUUGCAUAAGUUAUUUCUUAGCCUACUUGAAUAAACUAAAAAUUAGUUGCAUAAAUGGAUUUUAGCAACUUCAUUGAGACUGAUAAAAAUUAAUCGUUAUAACCAAAGAUGAUGUUAUGUGCAGUUCGGUUGAAUUUUUGUUAUGUAUUUGGCAAUACCUAACUUUCUUUUGUCUUGGCCAGAAUAGUGUAAUAUGCACUUAUUUAUGAAGAAGUAGAUACAGCUAGGUGUAUUAAUUAUUGAGGAAUACAUACAAAAUUCUGCCCAUCAUUCUUCUCUGUAAAUUAACUCCUUAUAUACCUAUAGGUGAAAUUAUUGUGGACCAUCAUUAUUAACAUUUUUGAAUAAAUUGUGUCCCAAAUCACCCCUCAGUAUAUGGAGGACUAGUUGUGAAACACUUGGUAUAAUUUUCUCUAAUCCUUUAUGACUUCAUCUUCGUGAGUUCAAAUUUAUUUUUUUGCAUUUUGUUCUUAAAUGUCCUUAUGGGGUUUUUCUUAAUCUGAUGCAAUGUCAUUUUGGGGCUGCAUUUUAAAAAUAGGACGGGUACAAGUAAAUGCUCUCUGAUAAAUGUGUGUACCUGGAAGAUGAGGUGGUUGUUUUACUGAUUUCACUUUCUGC
Molecule: non-coding RNA, 1825 nt
Organism: Zootermopsis nevadensis
Lineage: Eukaryota; Metazoa; Arthropoda; Insecta; Blattodea; Termopsidae
Source: RefSeq, a predicted model, not a curated record